AAGUCGUAACAAGGUAUCCGUAGGUGAACCUGCGGAUGGAUCAUUAAGAGGUUAUGCAACAGCAAUGUCGCAGAAACCACUGUGGUUAAUGUGUCUGUUUAUUGGCGGCGAGGUUGCGCGGGCGCGAAAGCGCGUGCGCAUGCGCCGCCAGCAUCAAACCCUAUCUAAACUACUAGUUGUCUGAUUACUCUAUCUUAGUAUAAUCUUAUACAACUGCUAGCAACGGAUCACUCGGCUCUC
RNAcentral lists this unclassified non-coding RNA (240 nucleotides) under fungal sp. RNAcentral describes it as "partial internal transcribed spacer region". The stretch from base 1 to 46 matches the Rfam family "Eukaryotic small subunit ribosomal RNA", at positions 1786 to 1831 of the family's 1831-position model. Lineage: Eukaryota; Fungi. The record is from RNAcentral.